UACGGGAGGCAGCAGUGGGGAAUAUUGCACAAUGGGCGCAAGCCUGAUGCAGCCAUGCCGCGUGUAUGAAGAAGGCCUUCGGGUUGUAAAGUACUUUCAGUCGUGAGGAAGGUGUUAAGGUUAAUAACCUUAGCAAUUGACGUUAGCGACAGAAGAAGCACCGGCUAAUUCCGUGCCAGCAGCCGCGGUAAUACGGAGGGUGCGAGCGUUAAUCGGAAUUACUGGGCGUAAAGGGCACGCAGGCGGUUAAUUAAGUUGGAUGUGAAAUCCCCGGGCUUAACCUGGGAAUGGCAUUCAAGACUGGUUAGCUAGAGUCUUGUAGAGGGGGUAGAAUUCCAUGUGUAGCGGUGAAAUGCGUAGAGAUGUGGAGGAAUACCGGUGGCGAAGGCGGCCCCUGGACAAAGACUGACGCUCAUGUGCGAAAGCGUGGGGAGCAAACAGGGAUUAGAUACC
This 453-nucleotide ribosomal RNA is filed under the name uncultured bacterium. RNAcentral's name for it is "bacterial SSU rRNA". It matches the Rfam family "Bacterial small subunit ribosomal RNA", at positions 340 to 786 of the family's 1533-position model. The record is from RNAcentral.